CAAUAGCGUAUAUUUAAGUUGUUGCAGUUAAAAAGCUCGUAGUUGGAUUUCGGAUGGGAUUUGCCGGUCCGUCGUUACGAUGUGCACUGGCCAGUCCUAUCUUGUUGUCGGGGACUAGCUCCUUGGAUUCACUUCCUGGGACUAGGAGCUGACGAGGUUACUUUGAGUAAAUUAGAGCGUUCAAAGCAAGCCUACGCUCUGAAUACAUUAGCAUGGAAUAACACGAUAGGACUCUGGCUUAUCUUGUUGGUCUGUGAGACCAGAGUAAUGAUUAAGAGGGACAGUCGGGGACAUUCGUAUUUCAUUGUCAGAGGUGAAAUUCUUGGAUUUAUGAAAGACGAACUUCUGCGAAAGCAUUUGUCAAGGAUGUUUUCAUUAA
Molecule: ribosomal RNA, 379 nt
Filed under: uncultured eukaryote
Lineage: Eukaryota
Description: partial 18S ribosomal RNA
Rfam family: Eukaryotic small subunit ribosomal RNA
Source: RNAcentral